This 371-nucleotide long non-coding RNA is filed under the name Prunus persica (peach). RNAcentral describes it as "long non-coding RNA (PPER_LNC007080)". The record is from RNAcentral. Lineage: Eukaryota; Viridiplantae; Streptophyta; Magnoliopsida; Rosales; Rosaceae.
CAGAAACGACCCGAUGCCUCCUUCUUCCCCUGUUUAUGGUUUUCCCUCCGUUGCUCCCUCUCUCUCUGCCGUCACCUCAGCCCUCUCUCUCCGCAGUCACCUCAGCCACCUCCGCUCGUUCCGUAGCCUCCCCUGCCGUCACCGUCGAGCCUGCCGUCGCACAUAGUCGGUUUCCGAUUCUUCGCUGGCCGAUUUCUCUCUCCUCCGGCCACCAUUUCCGACGCCUGAGGUAUGAUUUCUCGACUAUUUUUUGUGCUCUAGCUGAUGGUUGGUUAGGAUUUCUUGAAUUUUCGCUAUAGGAAAUAGGAAUUAAAACCCUAGGUUUUGGCCGGUUUGGGAAUUUCAAAUCCGGCCACUUCCGGCCAUUUUUC